This 587-nucleotide ribosomal RNA is filed under the name uncultured bacterium. Its description in RNAcentral is "bacterial SSU rRNA". It matches the Rfam family "Bacterial small subunit ribosomal RNA", at positions 338 to 916 of the family's 1533-position model. The record is from RNAcentral.
CCUACGGGAGGCAGCAGUGGGGAAUUUUGGACAAUGGGGGCAACCCUGAUCCAGCCAUUCCGCGUGAGUGAAGAAGGCCUUCGGGUUGUAAAGCUCUUUUGUUCGGGACGAAACGGUUUUGGUUAAUAACCAAGACUACUGACGGUACCGGAAGAAUAAGCACCGGCUAACUACGUGCCAGCAGCCGCGGUAAUACGUAGGGUGCGAGCGUUAAUCGGAAUUACUGGGCGUAAAGCGUGCGCAGGCGGUUUUGUAAGCCAGAUGUGAAAUCCCCGGGCUCAACCUGGGAAUGGCAUUUGGGACUGCAAGGCUAGAGUAUGGCAGAGGGGACUAGAAUUCCUGGUGUAGCAGUGAAAUGCGUAGAUAUCAGGAGGAAUACCGAUGGCGAAGGCAGGUCCCUGGGCCAAUACUGACGCUCAUGCACGAAAGCGUGGGGAGCAAACAGGAUUAGAUACCCUGGUAGUCCACGCCCUAAACGAUGUCAACUGGUUGUUGGGGGUAUUUAUUCUCUUAGUAACGAAGCUAACGCGUGAAGUUGACCGCCUGGGGAGUACGGUCGCAAGAUUAAAACUCAAAUGAAUUGACGG